RNAcentral lists this long non-coding RNA (226 nucleotides) under Olea europaea (common olive). Its description in RNAcentral is "long non-coding RNA (OEUR_LNC000607)". Lineage: Eukaryota; Viridiplantae; Streptophyta; Magnoliopsida; Lamiales; Oleaceae. The record is from RNAcentral.
CCAAAUGCACGUCACAAGCUCCCAUACCGCGAAUGCGACUAUCAUUGACAUUUUACAUUGUGAAAAUUGCAGUUGAGGUAUCAAACCUUUCGUUUAUUAACAGAUUUGAUCUAAACAUUUCGUUUAUACUGUCCAUGAUACCAAACCUUACCAAAAUUCGCACUAGAAGUUCAAAUGGAUGGAAACCGUUAGUAAAUCCGUUAAUUGACCUAGGCUCAACAUUUUG